GGCAUACUAGGGGAAAAGGAAUGCAGAGGAAAGUCAACAGAGGUUGAAACAAAAAUAAAACAUUGUUUGUUUCAGACCAUUGCAAGGGCAUUCCAUCCUUAUGAAAACCAGAGAUACACUGAGUACAGAACAGGGAUGCUGAUUCCAUGAACUCUAAUGAUAUGGCUGCCCAGACAAGAAAUGCAAACUUCUAGCUGGUCUACACGUCAACAUGGAUGGUAAAAAGCUCACAAGUUUUCACUCCUUAGAUGGAGAGAUACAAGCAGUCAUUCCUUUGAAGAAAGGAACCUAGUAUGAUGGUGCUCUGAGAGGCUUUACCCAGCAAUUGACUCAGACAGAUGGAGACACCCACAGCGACACAGUGGACAGAGCUUGGAGAUUCUUAUGGAAAAACUGGAGGAAGGAUUGUGAGUCCUGAAGAGGAAGAUACUUCAUAGGAAGACCAACAGAGUCAACUCAACUGGACCCUUUGGGCUCUUAGAGUAUGAACAACCAAUCAAGGAACAUAUAUAGGCUAAAUCUAGGCCUCCCCUCUCAUAUGCAGCAGAUGUGCAUCUUGACCCUCAUGGAGAGUCUAAACAAUUAGAGCAGGGGCUAUCUCAAAAUAUGUUGCUUGUACUUGUAUGUUCUUCUAGUUGGGCCGCCUAGUCUAACUUCAGAUGGCGAGGAAGCACCUAGCCCUAUAGAGACCUGAAGUGCCAUAAUGGGUGGGAUGCCCAGGGGCAUGGGGCAACCAUACAGAGGAUAAGGGGAGAGGUGAAGGGGAGGGCUAUCAGAGAGAGUGACCUGGAGAGGGGCAGUGAGACUGAUAUAAAGUGAAUAAGUAAAAAAGAAAAAAAUUAAAUUAAAAAAA
Long non-coding RNA from Mus musculus (house mouse), 853 nucleotides. RefSeq annotates it as predicted gene, 40604. Lineage: Eukaryota; Metazoa; Chordata; Mammalia; Rodentia; Muridae. The record is from RefSeq and is a predicted model, not a curated record. The transcript is spliced from 3 exons.